ACGGCAGGUGAGGCUGGACAAGGGAUAGGUGUCCCGUGGCCCCAGCCCACACUACCUGUGGUGGUGAUGAAGGCGUAGGACUUGGAGGUCUGCCCCGCCCGCACCCCGUGGACCUCCACGUGGUAGGUGGUGCCGGGCCUGAGGUCGGGCAGGCUGACGGUGCGCGUGGUGCCCGGCACAGUCAGCUCACCGCCGGGGCCCUCUGCAGGCGGCUGAGGCCGCCAGCGCAGCACCACGCGCUCGAACUGGCCGCGGAGCCCGUCGAGAGACACGAGAAGCGCGCCAUCGGCGGAACUGCCCAGCACCUCUGGCUUGGGGUGGCGGGACGCAGCCACCCGGUCGACGCCUUCAGGCGAGAGGCCGUAGAUUCCCUGGACUCCAGGCAUCUGAGGGCUCUGUCUCCCCAGUGGCCUCAGGACAGAGCAAGGCCCCCAGCAGGUGCCUCGAGACUGCCACACACCUGCCAGAAGCAUUCAGAGGAGUCUGUGAGCCCUGAGCCUGGGCUCCUGAGGAGGAGGAUCCAAGGCUGGGAAACCAGGGCCCUUCCCUAACCUCUGGCCAGCCAUACCUGUGUUGGCCCUGACAGAAGCUGGGUAGCUGACUGCCCGGCCCCGCU
RNAcentral lists this long non-coding RNA (616 nucleotides) under Homo sapiens (human). Its description in RNAcentral is "HSALNT0104704". Lineage: Eukaryota; Metazoa; Chordata; Mammalia; Primates; Hominidae. The record is from RNAcentral.